Molecule: ribosomal RNA, 261 nt
Filed under: uncultured prokaryote
Description: partial 16S ribosomal RNA
Rfam family: Bacterial small subunit ribosomal RNA
Source: RNAcentral
UACGUAUGUGGCAAGCGUUGUUCGGAAUUAUUGGGCGUAAAGCGCGCGCAGGCGGUUUCUUAAGUCUGAUGUUAAAUCUCGUGGCUCAACCACGAGCGGCCAUUGGAAACUGGGAAACUUGAGUGCAGAAGAGAAGAGCGGAAUUCCACGUGUAGCGGUGAAAUGCGUAGAGAUGUGGAGGAACACCAGUGGCGAAGGCGGGUAACUGGACUGCAACUGACGCUGAGGCGCGAAAAGUGUGGGGAGCAAACAGGGAUUAGA